AGGGAGAUUAAUGUGAAUGGGGUGCCGUCUUUUCCGGUGGUCAUCGAUGGCUAUCACUAUCGCCGCGCCAUCUCUUGCAAUAAGCGCCACCGUCGAGCCUCGAUCCCGCCCGUCCUCAUCCGCUUCUUCCUCUCCUCCUCCGCCGCCCUCGCUCUUGGUAGGUUUGUUGAUGGAUCUCGUCGGCUACGUGGAGGACAAGGCCGCCGCAUCACCAUGCGAUCUUCCCACUAGGGAGUAUGCACCGUCUUCUCCAUGUGCUUGUCAAGUCUUGGGAGGGUUCUUCGUUAGGCUUCUUUCUAAACGAAGGAACAGCUUCCUUCGCUUGGUGGAUCAGUUGGAAAAGGGUCAGUGGGUGGAUUGUUAUUGGAAUGUUGACUGUGUUCAAGAAGACAAAUGUUAAUUUCCAGUUUUGGCUUGCAGAGUUGUGCUAGGGGAGGGACAUCACAAUUCAGCAACUUUAUGGUGCUUAGGCCACUUGUGAUGGUUCUCAUGCUAAAGAUGAGCCCUUCUUCACCUGGCUUUCCAGCUUGUGUUGCAAGCCAUGGGGGGAGGGGAAGCAACAGCAGCAGCAGCAACACAGCCUUAAAUGCCAUGACGGCGACUUGUGAUAUUCCGUGUAGCUGACCGUAUGCUGCUCUCCUUGAGUGCCUUGGACGAGGAUGUGCCUCGGAUCUUAGCUUGCUUGGUCGGUCGGUUCAUCUUGACUGGUAAACUGUGUUCAAUAAACAUAUUUAUGCGUGCAUAUUUUUUUACAUAAUCCUUUUGGUAGGAUGAUGCCUUAAAUUCUUAACUUUUGGUAAAAGAAAUAUUACGGUUUACUGACAGCCUACUUGUUCAUUGUUCAUGGACCACAUCUACACGACCAUAUUGUUCGAGACUUAUGGCAGGAAAAACCAGCUAUCAUUAUACUGAUGACAGGUUAUUGUGGUAAGGACCAUUUACCUAUCCUCUAUGGAAGAACAUGUACUCUACUGUGGUGAACCUGUAAGCAGCAGCUCAUAUCUCCCUUGCUCUAAAUUGUGUAGCUUUGCGAUGUAUGUACAUCAUGAGUGUUUUUGGCUUGGUCGAAUGUAAUAAAAUCUCUCUCUCUCUCUCUCUCUCUCUCUUGUAGCAUGAGGUACCUGAUGAUUAAAUGUGAUAUUGGUACCAUGAUGGGUCUUGUCAAUUCACUAUAUUUGAGAUUGGUUUGGUUUGUACAAAUAUGAUUUAAUUUUCCUUGGCUGAACAAAAUUAUAGAUUGUGAUUGGGUACA
Molecule: long non-coding RNA, 1252 nt
Organism: Musa acuminata AAA Group (dessert banana)
Lineage: Eukaryota; Viridiplantae; Streptophyta; Magnoliopsida; Zingiberales; Musaceae
Exons: 3
Source: RefSeq, a predicted model, not a curated record